Molecule: ribosomal RNA, 425 nt
Filed under: Leptotrichia sp. oral taxon 212
Lineage: Bacteria; Fusobacteriati; Fusobacteriota; Fusobacteriia; Fusobacteriales; Leptotrichiaceae
Description: bacterial SSU rRNA
Rfam family: Bacterial small subunit ribosomal RNA
Source: RNAcentral
GAUGAACGCUGACAGAAUGCUUAACACAUGCAAGUCGAUGGGGAAGUGGUGCUUGCACCAUGGCAACCAUGGCGGACGGGUGAGUAACGCGUAAGGGACUUACCUGCAGGACUGGGAUAACAGGGGGAAACUCCUGACAAGACCGGAUAAUGUCAUGGAGCUGCAUGGCUUUAUGAUGAAAGGAGACGCCUGCGGAGAGCCUUGCGUCCUAUUAGCUAGUUGGUGAGGUAAGGGCUCACCAAGGCGAAGAUAGGUAGCCGGCCUGAGAGGGUGGACGGCCACAAGGGGACUGAGAUACGGCCCUUACUCCUACGGGAGGCAGCAGUGGGGAAUAUUGGACAAUGGGGGCAACCCUGAUCCAGCAAUUCUGUGUGCACGAAGAAGGUUUUCGGAUUGUAAAGUGCUUUCAGCAGGGAAGAAGGAAA